RNAcentral lists this unclassified non-coding RNA (314 nucleotides) under Piscirickettsia salmonis. Its description in RNAcentral is "partial 16S-23S ribosomal RNA intergenic spacer". Lineage: Bacteria; Pseudomonadati; Pseudomonadota; Gammaproteobacteria; Thiotrichales; Piscirickettsiaceae. The record is from RNAcentral.
UUAUUUAUAGACUUGAAGUUGCUUAAGUGUUCACACAAAUUGCUUGAUGAUUUUAUUGUUUAGAGAGACUGAUAUUUGUUCUUUAACAAUGUGGUAAAAAGUAUAAGUAAAGAUUCCUUGAUAAAUUUAGGGUUAUUUUUAUUUUCGAUUGAGAUGUAUUUUUAUGUUUUGAUUGAUAAAUGGGAAUAAUUUUUAGUUUAUUUAAUUAACGAGUCUUGGUAAUUUUUGAAAACCGGUGUUGAGAUAUAGUUUUGAUUGGUUUUAGUUAAUAGAUUUUAGAUUUAUUGAUAUAAGACUUUUUGGGGUUAUAUGAU